GAAAGAGACGCCGUGAGCCACUGCGCCUGCACCAAACUCCUACGGGGGAUGACCUCGGACAGGGGGUCACCCACCUGGCUUUCGGGGGCUUCGACUCUAGCCGCAUUCCAACUCCGCUUGCUGGAGGGGAGUUAACCAGCUUCCUUCCUCUAAGAACUUUGGCGGAUCUUCACUAACCCAAAGGGCAGAUUCCUUACCCCCACUAUGAGGUGGUGCAACGAAUUCUCAGCCAGUGAUGCCGUAAAGCUUCCGUGGAUACUAAUAUGAGAAGACAGUGUCACUCGGUACCAGGACCCUCACAAAGUGGCGAGACUAAGAAAAUACUGACAUCUAACUUCACUAACUUUCAUCCAGAGAAGGGCGUGCAGAGUGUUGUCACAUGCUAAUGCCCCAUGUAUGAUCACGUCCUGCACAACCUGCCAGCAAUACACAAUGCCCCCGAAGGCCGGGCAUUCGCUUUAGCAAAUGUGCACCUCUCUCGAGGAGUGGGGACCUUAGGAGUUUGAAUGAGAAAUGCCACUGUUUGCACAUUCUGUCAGGUGCACGGGUCUGGCUCUUCAGACAUGUUAUAGGGAAGACUUACUGUGGUUAUAUGCGGACAGCAGUUUGCAUGGAGCUUCAAUAAAGGGAUCGAACACAGAACAGCAGAAUCAAAUCUAAUCUCAGGAUGGGCAUUUUAUAGGCCACGCCUGCUGUACCUCUUAGUUUUCCCCUUUCUGGUCGUAUCAACUUCAAGUAACAAUGAUUGACUCCUAGCUGUAGGAGGUGACAACCUGUGAAAAGUGGCUGCCAAUUAUACAAAGAAUUAGUA
This is a long non-coding RNA of Mustela lutreola (European mink), 811 nucleotides long. RefSeq lists it as uncharacterized. The record is from RefSeq and is a predicted model, not a curated record. The transcript has 3 exons. NCBI's taxonomy places the organism in Eukaryota, Metazoa, Chordata, Mammalia, Carnivora, Mustelidae.